GCCGCGACUGGGUAUUGGGGAACCCAGCGGCCUGCUAUGCCGUGGCCGUCUGCUACCGGUCUCCCGGUUCGAAUCUGGGUCGCGGCG
This 87-nucleotide transfer RNA is filed under the name Haloarcula sp. S1AR25-4. Its description in RNAcentral is "tRNA-Ser". The record is from RNAcentral. Lineage: Archaea; Methanobacteriati; Methanobacteriota; Halobacteria; Halobacteriales; Haloarculaceae.